AAAUACACAUGCAAUUGGAUCAACCCAUUCACACAACCGUCAAGAGGAGAAAAAAAAAUGAAAAGGAAAAAGAAAUACCUUCUUUAUUUAAUACAUGGAUACCUAAUAAUUCAUUUAUUUAAUAAUUUAUUUUAUUUCUCAAAAAAAAAAUUGUUCAUGAAUUAUAUAUAUUUAUUGCUAACAUUUCCCUGAAAAACAAAUGCCUGAAAUUGAAAAAUUGAGAUGGGGUCCAGCUCCAACCCCGCCAUAAGCACGUCCAAAUCUUUGGGACCGUCGGGUUGUCAUUUCUGAGCUGUUUCCUCGAAAUUCAAUCAAAGCUUCCCUUCUUACUUUUAAACUAGAUGAAGUCGUCUUUCUCAAAUUAUUGCGUUCUCGCUUUGCUCUGUUAAGAAAAGACUGAAGGGGGAAAUUUAUCGGUUACGCCAUCUGCUUUUCUUUUCCCUGCUUUGCUCUUACUCUUUUGAAAUACUUAUCGGUAUAAAUAAGCUUAGGCAGGCAGUUUUAACCAUGAAAAUGGACUUCCUUUACGCUUUAAACCUCUACAAAAUUUAAGCCUUUUACUUUAAAUCAUGAAAAUAGAAUUUCUAGCCUUAAUUUGAUCCAGAAAAAAAGAACAUAUUCUGAGUAAAAACCUUAAAAAGGCAGAAGAAGGGGGUGAUUAUAAGGAAAGCUGCAUAAGCACUUGUUAAAUGAAAACUAUAUAUAGUUGGAAAGGUGGUUUAAUAGGCCACUAAAAUUAUUUGAAAAAUCAAUUUAAAAAGACAAAUUAAAUAUACUUUAAGGACUAAAUACUUGGUUUCUACUAAAAAAUAAUUAACAAAAUAUUUGUUUGAACAGGUUGCAUCUUAUUACUAUUGAAAGAGUAAAUAAUAUAUAUAUUUUUAAAAAUUCAAACUUUAUUAUUUUCUAUCUUUUAAAAAUUAUUUUUAUUUUUUUACUUAUUUACUUUUAUUUUUAAUUUUUUUGGAUAUUAAAAACAUCAUAAUUUUUUUUAAAAAAAUUAAGUUUUAGUGAAAAUAUCUAAAAUGUUUAAAUCUUUUCUUUUUUUAUUUUUAUAUGCUUUUAAAAAGUAAAAAUUAAAAGGUUAUUUUUCUUUUUUAUAAUUGCCAUGUCAAUAAUGCUAAUGAUAAAUACUUUUUUAUAGAACUUUUAUUCCAAAAUCAUUAAAAAAUAGGUUAUUUGUCUAUAUACCAAAUAAUCACUCAUAAUUUGUUAUUUAAUCAAAAUAUAAGAAAUAGGUAUAAUUUUAAAUUUUAAAAUAAUUUUUUUAAAAAUAAUUUAAUGGUCAAAAUAAAUUUAAAUUUCAAAUAAUUAGAAAGAUUUAAAUUUUAAAUAAUAAUUAUAAAAUUAUUUUUUAAAAAUAUUAUGCAAAUGAGUUUUUUUUUAAAAUUAAAAGAUAAUUCAAGUUUAAAAUCUAUUAAAAAUAAUAAAUUUUAAAAUAAAUAAAGGAAAAAUAUUAUCUUUUCAUAAUUUUAAUAUUUUUAAAAUUAUAAAAAAUGAAAUAUAUGUUUUACUUCAAAUUUUUAAUAAAUAAAAUGGAAAAAAUAAACUAAGAUAUAUUAUCCUAAAAUAUUAUUUUUUUAAAAUUUAAAAUUAUUUAUUAAUACAUUUAUUUAAAAAUAUAUUUACAUGUGAUUACAAUAAGCUUUUAAAAAUAAUUUAGUUUUAUAUUUUAAUUUUAUUUAAAAUAUAUUUUUUUGUAAAACUUAAUUUAGUAUGACUUUAAAAUCAUAAAUAUUAAAAUAUACAUUAAGAUGACAUAGAAGAAGAGCAAACCUUUACACAUGAAUGAAUGAAUGAAAAAUAUAAAAAAGUUAAAAUCUAAUUAAAAAAUUUUAAACAAACAUUAUAAAACAUUUCGUCUCUGUUGAUUUAAAAAUUAAAAAAAAUAUGAUCAGUUUACUUGUUUUGAUUUCGUCUUUGUUGUCGCUGUGGUUAUCCAGUUUACUUGUUGUUUGCUCUCCCAAUGGAGUUUGUUAUUGCCAUCG
This 1988-nucleotide long non-coding RNA is filed under the name Gossypium barbadense (sea-island cotton). RNAcentral describes it as "long non-coding RNA (GBAR_LNC009750)". Lineage: Eukaryota; Viridiplantae; Streptophyta; Magnoliopsida; Malvales; Malvaceae. The record is from RNAcentral.